GAGAGGGUGUCUGUGGGACCAGGCUGCUGUCGGGCACACAGGCAGAGCAAUGGACUGGGUGAAAAGAAAGGGCUGCUGGGGCGAGAAGAAACCCAGGCUGGAGGGCAAAGAAGCAGGGAGCGAACACCAGCAAAUGCUGCCCAGUGAGGCUCAGGGGCACAGGAGGCAACAGCCCAAAGGCCACCCUCCGAAGCCAAAAAGGAGGAUUGUGGGGCUUCUGGGCACAUUGCACAGAAAUAAAAGACCUCAAGAUGCCGUUCAUCUGACAGAAAUUUCCAAAGGCUUCUCCGAGUUGGUCCAGGAGGGGCAGUUCCUGGAAGCCUACCAGAGCAUCUCGGCGCUGGCGGAGGAAGGGCAGGGCUGCAGCCCCCGGUACGAGGUUUUGGCCCAGAGCAUGUGGCAGGUUGUUCAGCAGGCUCUGGAGGGCACUGGGCCCAGCCAGGAGCUGGAGCGGAAGCUCCAGGCCGUGCUGGCCACUGUGGACUGGACACAGGACAAGGACCAGAGCUGGGAGGCCGGCGCCCUCCAGGACGGCCCGGUUGCCACCUGGGCCGGUCAGCUGCAGAAGCUGCUGAGAAGCGACGCUGAGGCCCGAGUGCCCACCCUGGGCCCCAAGGACGCACUGGACCCAUACCUGGAGAAACUAGACAAGGCUGUGAGACGUGGCCUGGGGUCCCCGCGGGCACGCCUGUUGGGGACACGCCUCUGGGAGGACUACAGCAUGUACUUCCAGGAGGCUCUUCUCAGCCGCCUCUUCGAGCUCACGGACUCCUGCGGCACCAGUCUGAAAAGCCGUCAGGUUCUGUACACCUGGGGCAAGAUGAACUUGUUCAGGCAGCCGGGCAGGAAGACACUCGUGAAAGCACCUCCCACCUCCCAGGAGCCCACGGUCUGGCACCUCUUGGACCCCGUGAUGUUUGUUACCUGGAUGUCCAAAAUGCAGAAGGAGCUGGUGGGGCUGAUCCAGGAAGAGUUGGAAAAGUGUCUGGAAAGAGUCCUGAUCCAUGAUCGGGAAAAGUGGGCCCAGUCUCCCCACCCAACGUUUCUCGAAAUCUUCCAGCUGCUGGAAAAAAGUGCAGAACAACCCAUGGGACCUUCUAUCACCAGCCAGGUGCGAAAGAUGGUUCUGGAAACAUUUUCAAGGUUUCUGGAAAGGUAAGUGAAAAGGUGGUCCUUGCCCAGAGAAGGAGGCAUGGGUGGCUGGGUCCACCGAACCCCAGUUAGAGUGCUGACCAAGCCUCCAACCACUGGCCACCAGGUGCUUGGCCAGUUCCCAAAGCAGGGGAACAUUCUAGCGUUGGCCUUUGGUGCUCCCAGUCUGGCCAGCUUCACCUCCCACCUUGGCUCUGGAAAUGUCCCAUGGCGGCACCGUCUGAUACGGUGACAUCGUCUGACAUGGCGGCUCUGGCCUCAUGUGGCUGUCGAGCUAGUUCCACGGAGGGACCACAGUUAAAUUUUAUUUAAUUGUAAUUCACUGACCGUUAAACACCGCAUGGGGCUGUGGCUCCCGUCCUGGACAGCAGGAGUGGGAUUAGGGGGAAGCCUAGGAGGGGAGUCAUGAACAUGCAGAGUCGAAUUUGGUCCUUAUUUAAAAUUCCAUGUUUUGCUCAUGAUGGAUGUUUUGGACUGACUUUAAUUUUUUUUUAAAGAUUUUAUUUAUUUAUUUAUUUGACAGAUAGAGACAGCCAGCGAGAGAGGGAACACAAGCAGGGGGAGUGGGAGAGGAAGAAGCAGGCUCAUAGCGGAGGAGCCUGAUGUGGGGCUCGAUCCCAUAACGCCGGGAUCACGCCCUGAGCCGAAGGCAGACGCUUAACCGCUGUGCCACCCAGGCGCCCCAACUGAUUUUAAUUUUUAAAAAUAUUUCAUUAAAAUAUUAUCUCAGUUACAGAUCCUGGCCAGGGACCUGGUAGACUGCCUGCCUCCCUGUUUCCUCUGCUUUUCACCGCUGGACCUGAGCCACAAACCCAGCUCUGCCCCAGCCUCAGGGUUUGGGUGGGGACCUGGCCUCUUUCCCGCUAGGCUGGGGCGGGGGUCAGCAUUGUGGGCUCCUCCUGUUUCAGAGGAAGCACUGUGUAGACCACAUCGCUAGGCUCGUCUCUCUGGGGCCUUCAGAGUAUCUGUGUUCACCUGGGACGGGCUCCCUUACAGGCGGACAUGAA
Long non-coding RNA from Ursus americanus (American black bear), 2159 nucleotides. NCBI's taxonomy places the organism in Eukaryota, Metazoa, Chordata, Mammalia, Carnivora, Ursidae. The record is from Ensembl.